CGGGGGAGCAAGCGUUGUUCGGAUUUACUGGGCGUAAAGGGCGCGUAGGCGGCGCAACAAGUCACUUGUGAAAUCUCCGGGCUUAACCCGGAGCGGCCAAGUGAUGCUGUCGUGCUAGAGUGCGGAAGGGGCUACUGGAAUUCUCGGUGUAGCGGUGAAAUGCGUAGAUAUCGAGAGGAACACCUGCGGCGAAGGCGGGUAGCUGGGCCGACACUGACGCUGAGGCGCGAAAGCCAGGGGAGCGAACGGGAUUAGAUACCCCGGUAGUCCUGGCCUUAAACGAUGGAUGCUUGGUGUCCGGGGUUACAUAGUCCCCGGGUGCCGGCGCUAACGCAUUAAGCAUCCCGCCUGGGGAGUACGGUCGCAAGACUG
This 372-nucleotide ribosomal RNA is filed under the name uncultured organism. RNAcentral describes it as "bacterial SSU rRNA". It matches the Rfam family "Bacterial small subunit ribosomal RNA", at positions 527 to 896 of the family's 1533-position model. The record is from RNAcentral.